RNAcentral lists this microRNA precursor (98 nucleotides) under Tribolium castaneum (red flour beetle). RNAcentral describes it as "microRNA tca-mir-3806b precursor (tca-mir-3806b-1)". Lineage: Eukaryota; Metazoa; Arthropoda; Insecta; Coleoptera; Tenebrionidae. The record is from miRBase by way of RNAcentral.
CUCAGUAAAUUUUCCUGUUUCUACGUACGGAUUCGUACAUAUUUUUUGAACAAUCAAAAUAUGUGUAUUCGUGCGUAGCAAUAGGGGGGUUUGGUGCA